Homo sapiens (human) is the source of this 2149-nucleotide long non-coding RNA. Ensembl annotates it as long intergenic non-protein coding RNA 1270. NCBI's taxonomy places the organism in Eukaryota, Metazoa, Chordata, Mammalia, Primates, Hominidae. The record is from Ensembl.
UCCCAGACGGCCAUCCCCCAGGCCCAGCCUUGCCCACAAGAUUCCCAGAUUUCACAACUGGGGCUGGCGCUGAAUCAUGUACAGCCGUGGGUAAUUACCUGCCCAGGUUAAUAGCGCCCACUUCCCGCCACCUUUCAUCAAGGCUCCUGGAGCUGCCAGGCAGUAAUUAACCCUCACAGCACCCUUCUGAAGUCAGCACUGGAGGCAGACGUGUGAUGAAACACGUUUAUUACAGGAAGCACCAGUUAGCCCAGAUGCUUCUCAUCUUUGGAGUUGAGCUGCAGGCUGGAGACCUGGAAGGCCCUCGCAGCGCCUGCUCCCAUCCUCUCACCUCACGAAAGCGCAGGAAUGUGGGUUUGGAGCCAAUGAAAAGUACUGGAAUCUGGCUCUGCUCUGUGACCCUGGACAAGUCACUGCCCCUCUCUGGGCUUCAGUUUCCUCCUUGCUCCAUGAGGGCAGGGGAUUUUGUCUGUUUCAUUCACAAUGUGUUCCCAGAGCUCAGCACAGUGUCAGGCACACACUAGGUAACAGCACCUCGACUUCCUACUGAAGAACCCCCUCUUCCCUUUUCUCAGUCCAUGAGGCUGGGGGUGCCCAGAGGCCUCUGUCUCCAGGGGUGGACAUGUGACCGGGUCUUGCUCUAGUGAUUGGUCCAGGGAUGGGCACAUGACUGAGCCUGCCCAAUGAAACUUGAUCUUGGGACUUCAGGGUUGGCCAUGAUUUGUGAAGGAGAUGCCAUUUUCCAUUGGAUGGACAGUGAGCAAGUGAACGCUUAGAGAAGAAGAGGACAAAACAAGGGAAAAGCCUGCCUGACAGGAAGCAGCACAGAGCUGGACAGGCUUUGAACUCCUGGAUCCCACUGUACCUGAAAUUAGGCACCUUCAACUUUCUAGUUAUGUGAGCCACUGUCUUUCCCAUUUUUGGCUGAAAACAGUUGGGACUGGCUUUCUGUCCCUUGCAUACAGAAGGUGCUGACUGACCCCUGCCCCAUGGAAGAAGAUACUCCAGGCAGAGGAAAUAGUGUGUAUAGACACCCCUAAGCGAAUGCCAAGCGGGGCACUCAUGUACCAAGAAGAAGGAGGAGGAGGCACCUGGGAGCUGAGCUUAAGAGUUAGUCGGGUGGUCAAGGUGGGAGAAGGGGGUAUCUUUAGCAGAGGGAACAACCAUUGCAAAAGCUUGGAGGGGUGACUAGUUAGUGAAGAUCAACUGUGUGCUGAGCUCGUGUUGGGUGGCAAGGGACACAGACGAAAAGGGCACGGUGGAACCCAGCUACUUCUCACCUGCUCCAGCGCAGUGCAGGCUUGUCUGCUUUUGGAGCCGAGCCUGGACACCUCCGUGUCCUUCCCCCGGCAGAGUGCUGCCAGCACGCUGUCUCAGACUCUCCAGCAUCUCCUGGUUGAUGUGCAUCAUGGGGACCACACAAGAUUAUUUUAUAGGCUGCACAGGCAAAGCAUAAAAUCACCUCGGGUCACAUAGCGAGAGUUAUUCUCUCUGCAAAUUCUUUACAGUCUUUCCUUUAUAUCCAGAAGAGUCUCUGUGUGGUGCUAACUUGCCUCGAAGACCAAAUAAUUGCUAGUCUCCCUUUGUGAAAAGGAGAGCAGGUGUCAGGCUCAUUCAUGUCUCAGGCACACAAUUGUAUCUAGCUAGACUUUUCAAAAUGUCCUAUAGAGCUGCAGCACAUAUGAAUGAGGUGUCCAGCUGGUCCCAAACCUGUAAUCGGCACCCCAGUGAGCAGACUGGACAUCCCCACCCCCACAGCUGCCCUUUCUCCCCUCCACUCAUGUUCCCUCUAGGGCCACCACGAUCCCGACUUGUAUCACCACAGAUGAGUUUCACAUGUUUUUGAAUUUUACAUCUUAUCUGUUUUCUGUUCCUAUACAAGUUUGCCUUUUUUGAAUUCCAUAUAAGUGGGAUUCUACAAUGUGUUAUCUCAAUUUGAGUCUGUUUUUUUUUUCCUGCUCAGCAUGAUGUUUUUGAGAUGCAUAUAUGCGGUUUUGUGUAUCUGUAGAUGGUUCUUUUUUAUUGCAGAAUAAUGUUCCAGGGUAUGGAUGUACCAAAGCUUGUUCAUCCAUUCACCAGCUGAGGGAUAUUUGGACUGUUUCCAGUUUUCAGCCAUUAUAAAUAAAGCCACUAGAAACAUUUGCAAACA